This is a long non-coding RNA of Asparagus officinalis (garden asparagus), 2226 nucleotides long. RefSeq lists it as uncharacterized. The record is from RefSeq and is a predicted model, not a curated record. The transcript is spliced from 5 exons. Lineage: Eukaryota; Viridiplantae; Streptophyta; Magnoliopsida; Asparagales; Asparagaceae.
GUUAACAUUAUCGUUAUGUGAUACUUAUAAAGACUAAGGAGCUGGUCCCUGAAAUCAUAAGUUCUAAAAUUUUGCAUAACAUUCUCUUAAAUAAGUUGAUUGCUAUUAACUCAGAAGUUACCACAUAAACGAAGAAAUUUGGAAAAUAACUGUAGAACCAUGCAAGAGACGUAGACAUAUAACAACAAGCAAUGCAAAUAGCAUACAACUCUCAAGUUUUUUUAAUAUCUAAUAAAUAAAUUCAGAAAUUGUUUAUUAACCCUAAAUGCUUCUGAUGUGCACCACCAGUGCAAGAAAAUGAACAGAUGGCCUGGAGACACAAAUAUAUUAAACUGGUAUAUAAGUCAUAUAGAAUAUGCUGUAAAAAUGAGAUCAAAACCUAGACAUUGUUUUAUUUGAAGAACACACAAUUUUUCACUGAGAUAAGUAAGACAAUGAAUCUUCAAGCAUUAUCAUUUGGUUUAUUAAUGUCAUUCUUUUGAGAAUUUCACAGAAUAAGUUAAAAAGUUCACAAAGCUGUAAAAAUUUCACAGAAUUAUCAUUUGGUUUAUCUAGAUUCACAGCUCCUCUUUGUUGACAAAUAUUAGAAAAUUUGGUAUGUUGUUUGUAUGUGUUUGAGCUAUGUAGUAGGUCUAGUGAGCUGCAAACAGCUGACUAGUUCUUAAACUUGUGGAUAGAAUAGGGAUAUGCUCCUAAUUUAAAAAAUGGCUUAUUCAUGGUCAUUAAAAAUAACAAUAUGCAAAAAAACUAAUUGGAACAUCCUUCUUUCGGCAGGGCCAUGGUCACAUGACUAGUAAUUAAUGUAAGAAAAUUUACAAAUCACCAAACAAUGGCGAGUGAAGAACACAAAUUAGCUACAAGAAAACCAUGCUAGCAUAAAGGCAUAAUUCUUCUAAACAACUUUUAAAGACAUGAAUAUACAUGUAUUUGCUUAAAAACUAUAGAAAAGCUAGAAAACUGCAGUGACUCAUCACUCAAUUUCAUAUUGAAAUUAAUCCAAAAACUUCUUUACAUGUAAGAGGAAGUAAUAUCCCUAACAUCAGAGGGCGUGAAAGCCAAGAUCAAGAGAACAACAAAUAUGCCAAUCUACUUCUGUAUUACUAAAGGAGAACAACAAAAAAGAUCAAAUGAACAAUAACUUUCAAAAAUAAUCUAAAAAUUUAAAUGGACCAACCAACGUACUAAAAAUUUAUAACUAAAAGAAAUUCUUGCUAUGUACAGUAAAAUUUCUCAUCUUCCACGUAUUUUAAUAUCAAUUUCCCACAACCGUCUAUUGUAACUCAGCCUCCCACGUUUCCUAUAACCAACUCCCACCUCUGAUAAUUCCAAACUCUCCCACCUCCUGUAACUCCACGUUCAUGCCGGUUUCAAAAAUUCUUCAAAAGACGAAGCUUAAAUAAAACGAGAGAGUGUAAGCGAAGCGAAGAGGAGAGAGCAACGAGACCUCAGAUCCCGCAAUUUCUAAAUCAGAUCUGAUUCCAAAUCCCCCAAAGAUUUAGGGUUUGAUAGAAGGAGGGGGAGGAGAUGCUGACGAAAUUUGAAACUUUGGUCGCGUUUAUUGAGAAAUUUGAAGGUUAGGUUUAGGGUUUGUACUCUGGAGAUGGGGGGAAGAGGCGGGAGUUGACGAAACGGGAGGCCUUGGGCGACGCCCUCCUAUAUAUGCACUUUAUACAUAUUUUCUGAUGAUCCUUUUACAAUUAGGUUAUAUAUAGUAUGGAACUCUUUGUGUAGUAAUUUUGUUUUGUUUAUUAAGCAUUAAGUUAUUCAUCUGACUGAGUCACAUUUCCUACCAGAUCAUUAAACAUUUUGAUGGAUGCAAAGCCGACUUGGUUGUUUGUGAUGGUGCUCCUGAUGUUACCGGACUUCAUGAUAUGGAUGAAUUCGUUCAGUCGCAACUUAUUUUGGCAGCACUGACCAUUGUUACUCACGUGCUUCGAGUGGGUGGUAAAUUCAUUGCUAAGAUAUUUCGUGGUACAGAUGCAAGCCUCCUCUAUUGCCAAGAAUUGGGUAUCUAGCCUUCGAUAAAGGAGCACAAAUUUUGGACACAUAAGAUCAUUUGUGUACGGUAAAAUCAGUUUUCCUUAGGAAUUUGCAGAAAAUUUUUUAGAAACCGUGCUUUGCACUGGUCUAAAUACUAGUUGGGAGUAAUAGCAACAUAAAAAGGCGGGGAAGGCAACGGUGGCAAAAUAAGCAGAAGAAUCACUAACGACGCAGUGAUGCAGAGAA